CCUGCUCGGUGAAGAUGCAGAGGUCUCAGCGGACUUUGACAUGGAAGGUGAUGUCGACGACUACAGUGCUGAGGUGGAGGAGCUUCUUCCUCAGCACCUCCAGCCAUCCUCCAGCUCUGGCCUCGGCACCUCUCCAAGCUCUUCGCCCCGGACCAGUCCCUGCCAGUCACCCACAGCACCAGAGUACUCCGCACCUUCUCUUCCCAUCAGACCUAGUCGAGCACCAUCAAGAACUCCAGGACCUCUAAGUUCACAGGGUGCUCCAGUUGACACCCAGCCAGCAGCCCAGAAGGAGUCUUCCCAGACCAUAGAGCCCAAGAGGCCACCCCCUCCCCGCCCAGUUGCUCCUCCAGCACGUCCUGCCCCACCACAGAGGCCACCUCCACCUUCAGGGCGUAAUCAGCCUUCCCCUCAAGCCGGACUUGCAGGCCCAGGACCUUCUGGAUAUGGUGCAGCUAGACCGACAAUUCCAGCUCGUGCUGGAGUGAUCAGUGCCCCUCAGAGCCAGGCUCGGGUGUCUGCUGGAAGGCUGACUCCUGAAAGCCAAAGCAAACCCUUGGAGACAUCGAAAGGUCCUGCUGUCCUUCCAGAACCACUGAAGCCUCAGGCUGCAUUUCCUCCGCAGCCUUCUCUGCCCACACCUGCUCAAAAGUUACAGGACCCACUUGUCCCCAUAGCAGCACCUAUGCCUCCCUCCAUUCCCCAAUCGAAUUUGGAAACUCCACCCCUGCCCCCACCUCGGAGCAGGUCAUCUCAAAGCUUGCCUUCAGACUCCUCACCACAGCUACAACAGGAGCAACCAACAGGGUAACAGCAGGUAAAAAUAAAUGGAGCUUGUGGUGUCAAACAAGAGCCAACAUUGAAGAGUGACCCAUUUGAAGACCUCUCACUUAGUGUGCUUGCUGUAUCCAAGGCUCAGCCUUCUGCUCAGAUUUCACCUGUUCUAACCCCAGACCCAAAGAUGUUGAUUCAGUUGCCUUCUGCAUCGCAAAGUAAAGUUAACUCUUUGAGUUCUGUAAGUUGCAUGCUAACCAUGCCUCCAGUUCCAGAGCAAAGCAAGUCACAGGAAAGUGUGGGGAGUUCUGCAAACCCAUUUCCCAGCCUGCCUACCAGGAACCCUUUUACAGACAGGACUGCUGCCCCUGGAAACCCAUUUAGAGUUCAGUCUCAAGAAUCAGAGGCAACUUCUUGGCUAUCCAAAGAAGAGCCUGUUUCUAACAGUCCUUUCCCUCCUCUCAU
This 1239-nucleotide long non-coding RNA is filed under the name Rattus norvegicus (Norway rat). RNAcentral's name for it is "long non-coding RNA NONRATT006856". The record is from RNAcentral. Lineage: Eukaryota; Metazoa; Chordata; Mammalia; Rodentia; Muridae.